CUUGGCUGUCAGAGUUCAGAGCGUGACUCUUCUGCCAUCUCUGCGGGGGAACAACAGGCUCUGUGACAAAGGUUCCCAGACGCUGCCCAGGGGGACCCCCAAUGUCCAGGCAGGGAAGGUAUGGAAGAAAGCUAUGACACAUUUGAAGAGGAGUUAGGGCCACCAAGAGCAGAUCCUCCUCCACUUAAGCCUGCUCGACAGAUCUGCAGACCAGAAAUGUACGUGACAAGGAAAGUCAGAGGGGAAAUGCCUCCAUUUUCCCAGCAACCAAGAGCAGAACCCAUGAUUUUACCCAGGGAACCCAGCUUCACCAGAACAAGUGAGUCAUUACCAUC
This is a long non-coding RNA of Etheostoma cragini (Arkansas darter), 335 nucleotides long. RefSeq lists it as uncharacterized. The record is from RefSeq and is a predicted model, not a curated record. The transcript is spliced from 4 exons. Lineage: Eukaryota; Metazoa; Chordata; Actinopteri; Perciformes; Percidae.